Brassica rapa (field mustard) is the source of this 119-nucleotide non-coding RNA. NCBI's taxonomy places the organism in Eukaryota, Viridiplantae, Streptophyta, Magnoliopsida, Brassicales, Brassicaceae. The record is from Rfam.
UGGUGCGAUCAUACCAGCACUAAUGCACUGGAUCCCAUCACAUCUCUGCAGCUAAACGUGAUUGGACGAGAGUAGAACUAGGAUGGGUAACCUCCCGAGAAAUCCUCGUGUUGCACCCC